This 509-nucleotide ribosomal RNA is filed under the name uncultured bacterium. RNAcentral describes it as "partial 16S ribosomal RNA". The record is from RNAcentral.
GGAGUUAGCCGGUGCUUCUUCUGCGAGUAACGUCACAGAUGUAAGGUAUUAACUUACACCCUUUCCUCCUCGCUGAAAGUGCUUUACAACCCGAAGGCCUUCUUCACACACGCGGCAUGGCUGCAUCAGGGUUUCCCCCAUUGUGCAAUAUUCCCCACUGCUGCCUCCCGUAGGAGUCUGGGCCGUGUCUCAGUCCCAGUGUGGCUGAUCAUCCUCUCAGACCAGCUAGGGAUCGUCGCCUAGGUGAGCCUUUACCUCACCUACUAGCUAAUCCCACCUGGGCUUAUCCAUCAGCGCAAGGCCCGAAGGUCCCCUGCUUUCCCCCGUAGGGCGUAUGCGGUAUUAGCAGUCGUUUCCAACUGUUAUCCCCACAAAUGGGCAAAUUCCCAGGCAUUACUCACCCGUCCGCCGACUCGUCAUCUUCAAAAGCAAGCUUUUGAAAUGUUACCGCUCGACUUGCAUGUGUUAGGCCUGCCGCCAGCGUUCAAUCUGAGCAGANCAACUACUGA